GAAGCGGUAACAGCUCAAAUUUGAAAUCUGGCUCUUUCAGGGUCCGAGUUGUAAUUUGUAGAAGAUGCUUCGGGUGUGGCUCCGGUCUAAGUUCCUUGGAACAGGACGUCAUAGAGGGUGAGAAUCCCGUAUGUGACUGGCUGCCUCCGCCCAUGUGAAGCUCUUUCGACGAGUCGAGUUGUUUGGGAAUGCAGCUCAAAAUGGGUGGUAAAUUUCAUCUAAAGCUAAAUAUUGGCCAGAGACCGAUAGCGCACAAGUAGAGUGAUCGAAAGAUGAAAAGCACUUUGGAAAGAGAGUUAAACAGUACGUGAAAUUGUUGAAAGGGAAGCGCUUGCAAUCAGACUUGCACGCUGCUGAUCAUCGGAGGUUCUCCUUCGUGCACUCGGUAGCGUUCAGGCCAGCAUCGGUUUGGGUGGUUAGAUAAAGGCCUUGGGAACGUAGCUUCUUUCGGGGAGUGUUAUAGCCCAGGGUGCAAUGUAGCCUACCCGGACCGAGGACCGCGCUUCGGCUAGGAUGCUGGCGUAAUGGUUGUAAGCGACCCGUCUUGAAACACGGACCAAGGAGUCUAACAUCUAUGCGAGUAUUUGGGUGUCAAACCCAUAUGCGUAAUGAAAGUGAACGGAGGUGAGAACCCUUAAGGGUGCAUCAUCGACCGGUCCUGAAGUCUUCGGAUGGAUCUGAGUAAGAGCAUAGCUGUUGGGACCCGAAAGAUGGUGAACUAUGCCUGAAUAGGGUGAAGCCAGAGGAAACUCUGGUGGAGGCUCGCAGCGGUUCUGACGUGCAAAUCGAUCGUCAAAUUUGGGUAUAGGGGCGAAAGACUAAUCGAACCAUUGGGCACUACUAGGUGGGUUGAGAGGCUGCUGAAAGCGCAGCCUAGUCCUGGUCACAGGGCAACACUUCCAAAUUGCGGGGACGUCCUGUCAACUGCUGAGCUACCGCAGCCCCNCCGAAAGGGGCGGGCGCGCACCGGGUUAACGACCCUGGGGAUGGUAACAACGCUCAGCUAGGGAUGAUCCGCAGCCAAGUCCUACCGGCCUCACGGCCCACGGAUGCAGUUCACAGACUAAAUGGAAGUGGGCGGCCUUCGAGGCUGCUUAAGUUAUAGUCGACCCGCCGCGAGAGCGGUGGGCUGGAGAGGCGUGCGGCGGGGUGACCACACCCGCCGCCCAAGAAUCCAGCCCGGGAGGGGCCCUCAGCGGCCCCUCCGGAGCAGCGCUAGUAGCUGGUUCCUGCCGAAGUUUCCCUCAGGAUAGCAGUGUUGAAUUCAGUUUUAUGAGGUAAAGCGAAUGAUUAGAGGCCUUGGGGUUGAAACAACCUUAACCUAUUCUCAAACUUUAAAUAUGUAAGAAGUCCUUGUUACUUAAUUGAACGUGGACAUUCGAAUGUACCAACACUAGUGGGCCAUUUUUGGUAAGCAGAACUGGCGAUGCGGGAUGAACCGAACGUGGAGUUAAGGUGCCGGAAUGUACGCUCAUCAGACACCACAAAAGGUGUUAGUUCAUCUAGACAAUCGGACUGUGGCCAUGGAAGUCGGAAUCAGCUAAGGAAUGUGUAACAACUCACCGAUCGAAUGAACUAGCCCUGAAAAUGGAUGGCGCUUAAGCGUACUACCCAUACUCCACCGCCAGGGUAGAAACGAUG
RNAcentral lists this ribosomal RNA (1641 nucleotides) under Mollisina uncinata. Its description in RNAcentral is "eukaryotic LSU rRNA". It matches the Rfam family "Eukaryotic large subunit ribosomal RNA", at positions 95 to 1371 of the family's 3401-position model. The record is from RNAcentral. Lineage: Eukaryota; Fungi; Ascomycota; Leotiomycetes; Helotiales; Pezizellaceae.